GAUGAACGCUGGCGGCGUGCCUAAUACAUGCAAGUCGAGCGAACAGACGAGGAGCUUGCUCCUCUGACGUUAGCGGCGGACGGGUGAGUAACACAUGGAUAACCUACCUAUAAGACUGGGAUAACUUCGGGAAACCGGAGCUAAUACCGGAUAAUAUAUUGAACCGCAUGGUUCAAUAGUGAAAGACGGUUUUGCUGUCACUUAUAGAUGGAUCCGCGCCGCAUUAGCUAGUUGGUAAGGUAACGGCUUACCAAGGCAACGAUGCGUAGCCGACCUGAGAGGGUGAUCGGCCACGCUGGAACUGAGACACGGUCCAGACUCCUACGGGAGGCAGCAGUAGGGAAUCUUCCGCAAUGGGCGAAAGCCUGACGGAGCAACGCCGCGUGAGUGAUGAAGGUCUUCGGAUCGUAAAACUCUGUUAUUAGGGAAGAACAAAUGUGUAAGUAACUAUGCACGUCUUGACGGUACCUAAUCAGAAAGCCACGGCUAACUACGUG
RNAcentral lists this ribosomal RNA (497 nucleotides) under uncultured bacterium. Its description in RNAcentral is "partial 16S ribosomal RNA". It matches the Rfam family "Bacterial small subunit ribosomal RNA", at positions 28 to 507 of the family's 1533-position model. The record is from RNAcentral.